Molecule: ribosomal RNA, 440 nt
Filed under: uncultured bacterium
Lineage: Bacteria
Description: partial 16S ribosomal RNA
Rfam family: Bacterial small subunit ribosomal RNA
Source: RNAcentral
CUACGGGUGGCUGCAGUGAGGAAUAUUGCACAAUGGGGGGAACCCUGAUGCAGCAACGCCGCGUGGAGGAUGACGCAUUUCGGUGUGUAAACUCCUUUUAUAUGUCAAGAAAAUGACGGUAGCAUAUGAAUAAGCACCGGCUAACUCCGUGCCAGCAGCCGCGGUAAUACGGAGGGUGCGAAGCGUUACUCGGAAUCACUGGGCGUAAAGGACGCGUAGGCGGGUUGGAAAGUCAGGUGUGAAAUCCUACAGCUUAACUGUAGAACUGCACUUGAAACUUCUAAUCUAGAGUAUGGGAGGGGGAGAUGGAAUUUGUGGUGUAGGGGUAAAAUCCGUAGAUAUCACUAGGAAUACCUAAAGCGAAGGCGAUCUCCUGGAACAUUACUGACGCUAAGGCGUGAAAGCGUGGGGAGCAAACAGGAUUAGAUACCCUGGUAGUC